UUGUCAUGCCUACUGCUUUUUGUCAAUCAUUGGUCAUUCAUUGGAGAAUGUUAUUAUUGAUUGAUAAUAGUUCAAACUUUUGGAUGACAAUGCUAUAAUUUGAUCAAUUUUGUUUAGUUAUUUCCUAGGCUUUAUCUUCUAUUUCAGAUUCUCUCGUAAAUUCUCCUCCUCAUUCUAUAACUUAAAGUAUGUGAAGGUGCCACAAGGAUGUAAAGAAACAAAUUUUGUCAACUGACCUCAAAUGCUACUUGCUUGGUCGCUCUCCAAAGCUACUAUUGUCACUAAAUUUCCUCAGGUACUAAUGAAUCGUAUCGACUUUUGAUUAAUCGUUUCAUUCCCUUUCUUGUUUUGUAAGCAUAUGAGGAUGACGUGGCAUCUCUCAAGGGCCUCCAUCUAUGUUUUCUAUUUUUCUAGCAUCUUUGUGCUUUGGUAUUUUUAUUUUGAUUAAAACUAAUUAAUUCUUUAUCUUUUCAGCUUAUUAAUUGUUAUGAAUUACAGUUACAGACUUUUUAUUUUCCUCUUCACUUCACUUCUUGCUUUCCAUGUGACAGUAUAUAUAGAUGUUUAUGCAUUGAAUUGCUAAUUGGUUGUGAUUGACUUGAUGAGUAAUUUGGUUGGGAAAGGCAUUAAGAAAGCAACUGGCUAACAAGAUCGGUGUCUGUUUGUAUAGUGUGAUUUUGCUGUAUGUUUGAUAUUGAACUUCUAUGAUGAUAUGUGUCGGUUAUUACAGGCAGCUAGGAAGUCUGCACCAACCACUGGAGAAUGAAGAUGCCCCACAGAUACCAUCCUGGAACUCUUGCC
RNAcentral lists this long non-coding RNA (801 nucleotides) under Daucus carota (carrot). RNAcentral describes it as "long non-coding RNA (DCAR_LNC005064)". Lineage: Eukaryota; Viridiplantae; Streptophyta; Magnoliopsida; Apiales; Apiaceae. The record is from RNAcentral.